GAAGGCUUCCUGACACCUGUCACCACCCCAUUCCGAUUUCAGUGUUAGCAGAAGAACAGAAAAGAUAGUCUAUGGAAACACAGAACUUAUGAGAAUCUAGUUGUUAAAGCAGAAGAAUAUUUAAAUGUAAUUAUAUCCUGAAAAGGAAUUUUUUUUUCUAAAAUGAAAAAGAGAGCUGAGAUGACUUUACUUUGAAUUAACAGAAUUAUCUGGGCAGCUGUUUUUUGCAGCUAGCCAAAUAAAAUAAGAACUACUUUUAAUGAAGAGCUCACAGUACUGAAACAAAAGAAUUGCCAGAAAUCUGAACAAGGCUGAGAGAUAAGAAGAGGAGAAUAAUAAUUAAUUCUAUCAAAUACCAAACUGACACUAAGAAACAGCAAAAAAAGCUUGUAACAGAUAAAAUGGAGUUCAAGUCAAAAAGCUAAUUACAUUUGAUGAAUGAACACACCUGAUGAAGUUUGUAUUAGCUAAUCAGUUUAAGCAGAUCAAAAGGAUGCUAAAUGUUAAUUUAAUUUGAGAAAUAUCAACAGGUAGCCCAUCCAACACUGAAUGAUAAAAACAGACUUGAGAGGCACACACGGCAAAUUAAGCAGAAGAUUCAGGUAAAGUCUGUUUGAACUCUUGAAAUUAAAAGGAAGAGAAAUAGUUCCAAAAAAAUAAUUAAUGGGACAGACCUUUUACAGCUAAUACUUAAUACUUGUAUCCGAGAAUACAAAUAAUUAAAUGCUCAUAAAUAUUGUCAAAACUGUUUACUGCCCAUAGAUAGAAGUCUUAAUGGCUACCACCCCUUUAACUAGUUGAAAAAACAGUGUUUGAGUUCCAGAGAAGCAAGCCUCGACCCUUGUUUUCUGUCAGCUGGGAGGAAACUCUGGCAGAGGAAGUUCCUACCUCACCGGAGGUGACACAUCACGGUUGCUAGUUCCUGCAGAGUUUGUGGUUUCUCCUCACAGCUGGAAUAGUGGCUGAUUUACAUCUCCAUGUGCUAAAUGAAGACAGAGCAGGCCUGAUAAGGCCUUAGGACAAUGAACAGAUGAGAUAACUCUUUCUUCUUUUGUUUUUAAAAUACAAAAUGCAACAACGCUAAGAUGAUAAGAUGAAGGACAACGAUGACAAAGAACGAUGAGGAUGGUCAGGGAGAAGACAGACAAGUAAGAUUUAUUUAGUUAUUUAUUUAUUUUAGGAAAAGCUCCAAAAGGAUCCAAGAGGUGUUUCCUCAGCAGCGGCUGAAAGGGAACUGAGGAUU
RNAcentral lists this long non-coding RNA (1243 nucleotides) under Pogona vitticeps (central bearded dragon). RNAcentral describes it as "lncRNA (ENSPVIG00000016937.1)". Lineage: Eukaryota; Metazoa; Chordata; Lepidosauria; Squamata; Agamidae. The record is from RNAcentral.